Molecule: ribosomal RNA, 253 nt
Filed under: uncultured bacterium
Lineage: Bacteria
Description: partial 16S ribosomal RNA
Rfam family: Bacterial small subunit ribosomal RNA
Source: RNAcentral
UACGGAGGGGGCUAGCGUUGUUCGGAAUUACUGGGCGUAAAGCGCACGUAGGCGGACCAUCAAGUUGGGGGUGAAAUCCCGGGGCUCAACCCCGGAACUGCCUUCAAAACUGUUGGUCUGGAGGUCGAGAGAGGUGAGUGGAAUUCCGAGUGUAGAGGUGAAAUUCGUAGAUAUUCGGAGGAACACCAGUGGCGAAGGCGGCUCACUGGCUCGAUUCUGACGCUGAGGUGCGAAAGCGUGGGGAGCAAACAGG